This 383-nucleotide ribosomal RNA is filed under the name uncultured bacterium. RNAcentral's name for it is "bacterial SSU rRNA". It matches the Rfam family "Bacterial small subunit ribosomal RNA", at positions 28 to 440 of the family's 1533-position model. The record is from RNAcentral.
GAUGAACGCUGGCGGUAUGCCUAACACGUGCAAGUCGAACGAAGUCUUCGGACUUAGUGGCGGACGGGUGAGUAACGCGUGAGAAUCUGCCUUCAGGACGGGGACAACAGUUGGAAACGACUGCUAAUACCCGAUAUGCCGAGAGGUGAAAUGUAUUUCGCCUGAAGAUGAGCUCGCGUCUGAUUAGCUAGUUGGUAGUGUAAUGGACUACCAAGGCGACGAUCAGUAGCUGGUCUGAGAGGAUGAGCAGCCACACUGGGACUGAGACACGGCCCAGACUCCUACGGGAGGCAGCAGUGGGGAAUUUUCCGCAAUGGGCGAAAGCCUGACGGAGCAAUACCGCGUGAGGGAGGAAGGUUCUUGAACUGUAAACCUCUUUUCUC